AAAAUUCGAGUUACGAAGGCACUUAAUGGCAAUAUUUCCUGCCGUGUUACGGCAAAAUGCCCGCGUAGCGAAAUCCGCUGGCUUUGAUUGGCUGAGCCCAGAAUGCCUACAAUGCCCACAAUGCCUUCCGAAUCAUGUGACAACCCCCUUGGCUUUCGUACUUGCGCUUCGCUAUUCCACUUGAACAACGUAUUGUUGUUGCCGUUAGCAAUUAGCCUAUAGCCUAUCGUUCACUCAAAAGGUGCGAUGGGUGCUUCGACUUAGGAAAAUUUUCGACUUACGAAAGACCCUCGGGAAGGAAUUAAUUUCAUUGAAGGACACACAGAGUGAAGACGCUGACACGGUGGCCCGUAAUGACAGAUCUGCUAAAAUAACGGCGUCUUGCGUCCCGCUGGUGUUGCCGUGCAUUCAACGCUUACAGGGAGAGGCGGAGAAAGAAACACGAGAGGAGGAGGAGGGAGACGUAAAAACAGUUGGAGACAGACGGGUGGGUGGACUUUCUGGCUGUGGACACAAUACUGCGAUGCUGCUGGAGGAAACAGGGACGAGCUGCAGUGAGAGAUGGAGGCAUGCUGACUGAUGGAGAUAUUCAAGUAACACACAAAAAAGUAUGUGGAUAUCUCUGAGUGGCUGCAGGGAUGAAGCAGUAAAGAGAAAGAUGCCCCUCUCAUCAUAUCGGCACAUACAUCUACUACCUACCUGCAAGCCCAAGAUCAUAGAAGUUCACUGCUGACCGUGGAGAUGAAGACAGUGCUUUUGCUGCUGUGACAACAUCCACAGCCACCGCAGCUAACAAGCACAUCUGGGAGCGGACUCGGAAUGGGAGAUGGUUAAAGUGACCUCUCCACUUUCACUGUGCUCUGAAGAAUAUUAGACUUCAGGGACCAGCAAACACCAGCCGGAGGUUUCACUCGAUGUGUCAAAUGUAUUUGUUCAGCAUGUGGAUAUUUCACUUUAUCGCCGGACGAUUAUUUCCCGUGUGCGUGUGGAAGCAGCAGAUUGGUAGUUGGCUGUUAGCAAGUGGGCAGAAAAAACAGCACCCCAUCAUAUGUCACAUGAAUCUUUAAUCCUUAUUAUGUAAGGCUAAUGUCACAUACGAUCCACUAAUGAGGCUGCCAUCGUGAGCUUUUCAUAUAUUAUUGAUCACACUGAGCCUGCAGCUCAGCUGAUUUUCUCACUUAUAACCAGAAAGACAUGCAGAGUCACAACUCUGAGCUACAGAUUUCUGCCUUUUUUCAACAAAACAUUUGAAACCAGACCUGCAGGUGCUGGAUGGUGACACGUCAAAGGUCCCGAGUGACAACUAACCAUCGAUGUGUCGAUGACCCGCCAAAGAAAAGCCGGCCGACUUAUUGCUUUAGCUUCGCUGGGAACGUCAGCCGCCCUCAUUCGUCAUCUAGCUGUGCUAACAUGUUGUCAAGACUGAGGGAGACCACGAAGAUGAAUGGGAAAAUAAUAAUAUAGCAAUAAUCAUGUAAAGUCAAACUAAAUCUGUGAUAAAUCUUAAAAACAUCCAAAAUGGUUUUCUAAAAAGGAACAGUGAUACCGUUUGAGGGGGAAUUAAAUUUAAAACAUCCCUGUAUCAGUACAACAAUAAAGAAGUUUUUGCAUCUCUGUGUGUGGAGUGAAGCUGUGGAAUAGACUAACGGAAGAACUGAAGUGUCGUCCCAGCAUGACUCGGUUUAAAAAUAUGGUUUUUGUGAAGUACAGGGAGGAGGCUGGGCUCUGAUCGGGUGUAUCACCCACUAUUUCCACAACAGUGAUGUGUAUAUAGGUAACAACAAGAUGAACAGGGCAUAAACAACAAGUGUUGACUAUUAGUUACUGAAUAGUGGAAAGAGGGGUGGAGUUAAAUAAGUUGGUGCUUCUUCCUGCUCCUUUUUGAACAU
Long non-coding RNA from Oreochromis niloticus (Nile tilapia), 1889 nucleotides. RefSeq lists it as uncharacterized. The record is from RefSeq and is a predicted model, not a curated record. The transcript has 3 exons. NCBI's taxonomy places the organism in Eukaryota, Metazoa, Chordata, Actinopteri, Cichliformes, Cichlidae.